Molecule: long non-coding RNA, 1230 nt
Filed under: Camarhynchus parvulus
Lineage: Eukaryota; Metazoa; Chordata; Aves; Passeriformes; Thraupidae
Description: lncRNA (ENSCPVG00000015391.2)
Source: RNAcentral
CCCUGCCCGGGGCAAGGGAGCCCUGCCCAGGGCAACCGAGCCCCGCCUGGGGCAAUCGAGCCCUGCCCGGGGCAAGGGAGCCCUGCCCGGGGCAAUCGAUCCCCGCCCGGGGCAAUCGAACCCUGCUCGGGGCAAUUGAUCCCCGCCGGGGCAAUCGAUCCCCGCCUGGGGCAAUCGAUCCCCGCCCGGGGCAAUUGAUCCCUGCCCGGGGCAAUUGAUCCCCGCCCGGGGCAAUCGAUCCCCGCCUGGGGCAAUCGAUCCCCGCCGGGGGCAAUCGAUCCCUGCCCGGGGCAUUCGAGCCCCGCUGGGCACGCACAGCUGCCCCCGGAACUCUGGACGCCGCCCCCACCCACUGUGGGUGGACAGACAGACAGACAGACAGACCUCAGGGCCUGGGCCCCCUCCGGCCCGGCCCCCCCGUUCCGGAGGGUCCCGGAGCCAUCGGCCCCCACAACAAAGCCGGGGGUUGAGCUCCCGGUGUCGGUGUCUGCGUGGGGCCGGGCAGCGCACGGGGCCCCCUGCCUGACGUCUCCUCGCUCUUCCAGUACAGUUCUGGUAUCUCAUUUUCUUUCAGCAUAAUAGAGAUCAUAAAAUAAUAAAUCAUAAAAUAAUAAAUCGUUCUGAACGGGGGAGUCACAGUUCUCAUCUCUUCCCUCGUCCUGGGGACCCUCAAACACCACCACAAUCACCGGCUUGAGCUGGGCUGGGCAGCACCAAAUAAAAUAAAAAGCUUUAAAAAUAGAAAACUUAGAAAUAAAAAUGAAAUAAAAAACAAAAUUUAAAACAUAAAAUUAUUAGAAGUAAAUAAAAAAAUAAAAACCGCAAAGUGCUGCAAAGUGAAGUGCUGUAAAGUGCCGUACAAGCUCAAUAAAAAAAGUGCCGUAAAGCACGACGGUCAUAAAACUGCCCUUAAGCGAGACUGUCGUAAAGUGCAGGAAAGCGUGAUUGUCGUAAAAGACUGCUGUAAAGCACGACUGCUGGAAAACUGUCGUAAAAGGUGACGUAAAGCGUGACUGUUGCAAAACUGUCGUAAAAGGUGCUGUAAAGCGCAGCUGUCGCAAAACUGUCGUAAGUCGCGACUGUUGUAAGAGGUGUCGUAAAGUGCAACUGCCCUAAAAGGUGACGUAAAGCGCGACUGUGGCAAAAUUGUCGUAAAAGGUGUCGUAAAUCGCGACUGUUGCAAAACUGUCGUAAAUCGCGACUGUCGUAUAGGCUGCCAUAAAGCGCGGC